RNAcentral lists this ribosomal RNA (301 nucleotides) under uncultured bacterium. Its description in RNAcentral is "partial 16S ribosomal RNA". It matches the Rfam family "Bacterial small subunit ribosomal RNA", at positions 509 to 809 of the family's 1533-position model. The record is from RNAcentral.
CAGCCGCCGCGGGAAAACGUAGGGUGCAAGCGUUAAUCGGAAUUACUGGGCGUAAAGCGUGCGCAGGCGGUUAUAUAAGACAGAUGUGAAAUCCCCGGGCUCAACCUGGGAACUGCAUUUGUGACUGUAUAGCUAGAGUACGGCAGAGGGGGAUGGAAUUCCGCGUGUAGCAGUGAAAUGCGUAGAUAUGCGGAGGAACACCGAUGGCGAAGGCAAUCCCCUGGGCCUGUACUGACGCUCAUGCACGAAAGCGUGGGGAGCAAACAGGAUUAGAUACCCCCGUAGUCCCUGUCUCUUAUCC